CAGCCGUAAACGAUGCUCGCUAGGUGUCAGGCAUGGCGCGACCGUGUCUGGUGCCGCAGGGAAGCCGUGAAGCGAGCCACCUGGGAAGUACGGCCGCAAGGCUGAAACUUAAAGGAAUUGGCGGGGGAGGCACAACAACGGGUGGAGCCUGCGGUUUAAUUGGACUCAACGCCGGACAACUCACCGGGGCGGACAGCAAUAUGUAGGCCAAGCUGAAGACUUUGCCUGAAUCGCUGAGAGGAGGUGCAUGGC
RNAcentral lists this ribosomal RNA (252 nucleotides) under uncultured archaeon. RNAcentral's name for it is "partial 16S ribosomal RNA". It matches the Rfam family "Archaeal small subunit ribosomal RNA", at positions 748 to 998 of the family's 1478-position model. The record is from RNAcentral.